CAAGUCGAACGAGAAAGUGGAGCAAUCCAUGAGUACAGUGGCGUACGGGUGAGUAACACGUGGGUAAUCUACCUCUUAGUGGGGAAUAACGAUGGGAAACCGUCGCUAAUACCGCAUAAGCUCGAGAGAGGAAAGCAGCAAUGCGCUGAGAGAGGAGCCCGCGGCCGAUUAGCUAGUUGGCAGGGUAAAAGCCUACCAAGGCAAAGAUCGGUAGCCGGCCUGAGAGGGCACACGGCCACACUGGCACUGAAACACGGGCCAGACUCCUACGGGAGGCGGCAGUGGGGAAUCUUGCACAAUGGGGGAAACCCUGAUGCAGCGACGCCGCGUGAGCGAUGAAGCCCUUCGGGGUGUAAAGCUCUUUCGGCAGGGAAGAUUAUGACGGUACCUGCAGAAGCAGCUGCGGCUAACUACGUGCCAGCAGCCGCGGUAAUACGUAGGCAGCAAGCGUUGUUCGGAGUUACUGGGCGUAAAGGGUGUGUAGGCGGUUGUUUAAGUUUGGUGUGAAAUCUCCCGGCUCAACUGGGAGGGUGCGCCGAAUACUGAAUGACUCGAGUGCGGGAGAGGUGAGUGGAAUUCCUGGUGUAGCGGUGAAAUGCGUAGAUAUCAGGAGGAACACCGGUGGUGUAGACGGCUCACUGGACCGUAACUGACGCUGAAACACGAAAGCGUGGGUAGCAAACAGGAUUAGAUACCCUGGUAGUCCACGCCCUAAACGAUGCAUAUUUGGUGUGGGCAGUUCAUUCUGUCCGUGCCGGAGCUAACGCGUUAAAUAUGCCGCCUGGGGAGUACAGUCGCAAGGCUGAAACUCAAAGGAAUUGACGGGGGCCCGCACAAGCGGUGGAGCAUGUGGUUCAAUUCGACGCAACGCGAAGAACCUUACCUGGGCUCGAACGGCUGGUCA
RNAcentral lists this ribosomal RNA (904 nucleotides) under uncultured Acidobacteriota bacterium. Its description in RNAcentral is "bacterial SSU rRNA". It matches the Rfam family "Bacterial small subunit ribosomal RNA", at positions 58 to 995 of the family's 1533-position model. The record is from RNAcentral. Lineage: Bacteria; Pseudomonadati; Acidobacteriota.